UACGUAGGGUGCAGGCGUUAAGCGGAAUUACUGGGCGUAAAGCGUACGCAGGCGGCUUUGCAAGACAGGUGUGAAAUCCCCGGGCCUAACCUGGGAACUGCAUUUGUGACUGCAUAGCUAGAGUUUGUCAGAGGGGGGUGGAAUUCCACGUGUAGCAGUGAAAUGCGUAGAUAUGUGGAGGAACACCGAUGGCGAAGGCAGCCCCCUGGGAUGUGACUGACGCUCAUGUACGAAAGCGUGGGGAGCAAACAGG
This 253-nucleotide ribosomal RNA is filed under the name uncultured bacterium. Its description in RNAcentral is "partial 16S ribosomal RNA". It matches the Rfam family "Bacterial small subunit ribosomal RNA", at positions 524 to 776 of the family's 1533-position model. The record is from RNAcentral.